AGGUUCUGGCGAGAUUCGAACACCCGUCGCAGGAUCCAGAGUCCCGAAUACUAACCGCUACACUGCGGAACG
Ancylostoma duodenale is the source of this 72-nucleotide non-coding RNA. NCBI's taxonomy places the organism in Eukaryota, Metazoa, Nematoda, Chromadorea, Rhabditida, Ancylostomatidae. The record is from the annotation of a GenBank genome assembly.